RNAcentral lists this transfer RNA (67 nucleotides) under Anopheles sinensis. Its description in RNAcentral is "tRNA-Glu". It matches the Rfam family "tRNA". From Rfam's summary of the family: Transfer RNA (tRNA) molecules are approximately 80 nucleotides in length. Their secondary structure includes four short double-helical elements and three loops (D, anti-codon, and T loops). Further hydrogen bonds mediate the characteristic L-shaped molecular structure. tRNAs have two regions of fundamental functional importance: the anti-codon, which is responsible for specific mRNA codon recognition, and the 3' end, to which the tRNAs corresponding amino acid is attached (by aminoacyl-tRNA synthetases). tRNAs cope with the degeneracy of the genetic code in two manners: having more than one tRNA (with a specific anti-codon) for a particular amino acid; and 'wobble' base-pairing, i.e. permitting non-standard base-pairing at the 3rd anti-codon position. The record is from RNAcentral. Lineage: Eukaryota; Metazoa; Arthropoda; Insecta; Diptera; Culicidae.
UAUUUAUAUAGUUUAACUAAAACAUUACAUUUUCACUGUAAAAAUAAAAAUUUAUUUUUUGUAAAUA